RNAcentral lists this transfer RNA (67 nucleotides) under Folsomia candida. It matches the Rfam family "tRNA". Rfam says of the family: Transfer RNA (tRNA) molecules are approximately 80 nucleotides in length. Their secondary structure includes four short double-helical elements and three loops (D, anti-codon, and T loops). Further hydrogen bonds mediate the characteristic L-shaped molecular structure. tRNAs have two regions of fundamental functional importance: the anti-codon, which is responsible for specific mRNA codon recognition, and the 3' end, to which the tRNAs corresponding amino acid is attached (by aminoacyl-tRNA synthetases). tRNAs cope with the degeneracy of the genetic code in two manners: having more than one tRNA (with a specific anti-codon) for a particular amino acid; and 'wobble' base-pairing, i.e. permitting non-standard base-pairing at the 3rd anti-codon position. The record is from Rfam by way of RNAcentral. Lineage: Eukaryota; Metazoa; Arthropoda; Collembola; Entomobryomorpha; Isotomidae.
AAUUAUUUAGCUAAAUAAAGCAAUUAUCUUGAAAAUAAUUUACAGAGUUUAAGCCUCCUAAAAUUUA